UUUUGGAUAAAAGAAACAAUUUUUAGAUAAAAUAAAAUAAAGUUUUUCACAGGAGAAAUGUUUUUCAUUCUCUUGUAAAAUUUUAAUUUUGUGACGUCAUAUUUUCAAAAGACAGCACUCAAUUAAGCUAUUAUGUUUUUUUUUGGUGCUACUCAUUUAAUUUUUCUGAAACUUAUGUUUUUCUUAGUGUUCGUUCUUAGUCAUCCUUAAUAAUAAUAUCCAUACUAACAUGUAUAAUAAGCUCCAUACUAAUAUCCAACUUAACUAAUAGCUAAGUUUUAAAAGUUUUGUCAUUGAAAGCAUGUACAAUCUUAGCAUUUCCAUUACAGUAGAUAGUAAUUUUAAACAUUUUGUAAAAAUGAUUGUUAAAAAUGGUCAGGGAAAUUCAUUUGAUUUUUCAAAAAAGUUAUUGAUUUUUAUAUAAAUUGUUGGCUACGAACCCUGUUGGAGAAACAUUGUUUUAAUAUGAAUUUUUUUGUUGUACAGUGCAAUCUGUAUUUUAUAAGAAACACAAAACAAUUCUCGUUAAUGUGUAAGCUUAAACAUUAACGAAAAUUGUUUUGUGUCAGUGCCAGAAAUUAAAUGCACACCUGCAAAUUUCAUAAUUCAUAAAAAUAUUAUGAAUCCAUUAGCAAGUAUAUAAUUUUAUCAUUAAAAAUUUGACUUUCUUUCUUUAAUUUUAUCUGUUUUAUUAGUGAUUGUUGUAUUUACUUUCAUAAAUUCUAAAUAUAAUAUGUAAUUAGUUGUAUAGUUUCUUAAAAGUUGUAUCCUUGAAAGAUAUGCUGGUAUUAUUGGCACAAUGGGCAAGCAUUAAAGUGCAGCUUGGUGAAAUACAAAACACAUCAAAUUCAGUUAUAAAAAUUUGAGUAACAAAGGUCAAUUAUUUGGCACAAUUUGGAGUUAAAGACAAAGGAGAUUGUAUAUGUUAUUUACUAAGAAUUGUUUUUUAAAAUGGCAUAGCUGUAAAAUUAAACUAUACAGGGAGAGGACAAAAGUUGGAAUAGGAAAAAAUGUUGAUUGCAUAUGUUGCUAUUGAAACUGUGAAGUCAAAUAAGCAUGGCUUAUGCAGACAUGUGAUAGAGAUAGUGGAAGAAA
Non-coding RNA from Hydra vulgaris (swiftwater hydra), 1095 nucleotides. Lineage: Eukaryota; Metazoa; Cnidaria; Hydrozoa; Anthoathecata; Hydridae. The record is from RefSeq and is a predicted model, not a curated record.